AUGGACGCUGCCUUGCUUGAGAUACUUGUUCAUCAUCACAACAUGGGUGACCAUUCUCAAAAUGGAUGGAAAUCACAUGUGUACAGUGCAGCUAUCAAGAAUGUGAAGGAGAAGUGCAAUAAGGAUAUCACGAAGAACAACAUAUCAGGAAGGCUUAGGACUUUCGACAAUCAAUUUGAAAUCAUUAACAAGAUCCUUUCUCAAAGCGGUUUUGGUUGGGAUUGGGUCAAUAAUAAGCUAUCCAUUGAUAGCGACGAUGUGUGGACUAAAUAUUUGGAGAAGGAGAAAGCAUUAGCUUCUUACAAGACCAAAGUAGUGAAGCACUGGGAAGCCAUCUCUACGAUAUAUUCAAAAGAUCAUGCGGACGGUGAAGGUGCCAAGACAGGUGCUGAGACUGCUGCAGAUCUAGAAGAAACAAUUGAAGUCUCUCCAGAAACGGUACCAAAGAGACAACGAACAGGUGAUGCCAUUAUGUGCAUGAUUGGAGAAAUGAGGACUACUUUCAAGGAUGCUCUGAAGACAACUGAUCCACUUCCAUUGCCAAAGGUUACUACUCCUUCUGAAAUACUUGCUGCACUUGAGUUGAUACCAGAGUUGGCAGAAGUUGACAUGUUGCGCUCUUACGGAAAGUUGAUUCUUAAUGAGCGCUUGUUUGAAGCUCUAAUGGAGCUUCCCAUGCACAUGAGGAAGGCUUGGUUGCUAUUAUUGCCUUGA
RNAcentral lists this ribosomal RNA (714 nucleotides) under Triticum aestivum (bread wheat). RNAcentral's name for it is "partial small subunit ribosomal RNA". Lineage: Eukaryota; Viridiplantae; Streptophyta; Magnoliopsida; Poales; Poaceae. The record is from RNAcentral.